AAUGAACGUUGGCGGCAUGGAUUAGGCAUGCAAGUCGGGGGAAUCCCAGCAAUGGGGGAACCGGCGUAAGGGGCAGUAAGGCAUGGGUACCUACCUUGGGGUUCGGGAUAGCCAUCAGAGAUGGUGGGUAAUACCGGAUGACGUCGUGAAACCAAAGAUUUAUCGCCCUUAGAGGGGCCCAUGUGAGAUUAGCUAGUUGGUGGGGUAACGGCCCACCAAGGCGAAGAUGUCUAGCGGGUGUGAGAGCACGACCCGCGCCACUCGCACUGAGACACUGGCGAGACACCUACGGGUGGCUGCAGUCGAGGAUCUUCGGCAAUGAGCGCAAGCUUGACCGAGCGAUGCCGCGUGAGCGAUGAAGGCCUUCGGGUUGUAAAGCUCUUUAGUGGGGGAGAAAAGCCGCAAGGUGUGAUCUAUCCCAAAAAUAAGCACGGGCUAAGUUCGUGCCAGCCGCCGCGGUAA
RNAcentral lists this ribosomal RNA (462 nucleotides) under uncultured bacterium. Its description in RNAcentral is "partial 16S ribosomal RNA". It matches the Rfam family "Bacterial small subunit ribosomal RNA", at positions 29 to 523 of the family's 1533-position model. The record is from RNAcentral.